AUUGAACGCUGGCGGCAGGCCUAACACAUGCAAGUCGAGCGGAUGACGGGAGCUUGCUCCUUGAUUCAGCGGCGGACGGGUGAGUAUGCCUAGGAAUCUGCCUGGUAGUGGGGGGCAACGUUUCGAAAGGAACGCUAAUACCGUAUACGUCCUACGGGAGAAAGCAGGGGACCUUCGGGCCUUGCGCUAUCAGAUGAGCCUAGGUCGGAUUAGCUAGUAGGUGAGGUAAUGGCUCACCUAGGCGACGAUCCGUAACUGGUCUGAGAGGAUGAUCAGUCACCCUGGAACUGGGACACGGGCCAGACUCCUACGGGGGGCAGCAGGGGGGAAUAUUGGACAAUGGGCGAAGGCCUGAUCCAGCCAUGCCGCGUGUGUGAAGAAGGUCUUCGGAUUGUAAAGCACUUUAAGUUGGGAGGAAGGGAAGUAAGUUAAUACCUUGCUGUUUUGCCGUUACCGACAGAAUAAGCACCGGCUAACUCUGUGCCAGCCGCCGCGGUAA
Molecule: ribosomal RNA, 499 nt
Filed under: uncultured bacterium
Lineage: Bacteria
Description: partial 16S ribosomal RNA
Rfam family: Bacterial small subunit ribosomal RNA
Source: RNAcentral